GCCAUGUCGGCCAUGAGAUAGGCCCCGUUGUCGUCGGCGAUCUUCCGCAUGCGGGCGUAGUCCAGGUUCCGCGAGUAGCAGCUGACACCUGCGGGGACAGGAGCCACAGCAGAUGUCACCCUGCUGAGAUUGUCCCAUGUGUGGCCAAGGACAGAGGCUGAGAAGGUCAGAGCCUGUCCUGGAAGAGCCUGGCUGCCAGCACAAGGACACUGCUUCUUCUCCUCUGAGGAUCCCAGGGCCUCCAGGACUGCUCGGCUUGCAAAGUUCUCCGAUGCAAUUAACUCCAGCCCCAGCCUCUGCCGCUGCUUCUCCUUCUUGAUGAUGCUGUGCACCUUUGGGAGAGGAGAGAAA
Long non-coding RNA from Pyrgilauda ruficollis (rufous-necked snowfinch), 351 nucleotides. RefSeq lists it as uncharacterized. The record is from RefSeq and is a predicted model, not a curated record. The transcript has 3 exons. Lineage: Eukaryota; Metazoa; Chordata; Aves; Passeriformes; Passeridae.